GAUGAACGCUAGCGGCAGGCCUAAUACAUGCAAGACGAACGGUAAGUUGAGUAGCAAUACUUAGCCAAGAGUGUCGUACGGGUGCGUAACACGUAUGCAACCUACCCUAUACAGGAGGAUAGCCUAGGGAAACCUGGAUUAACCCUUCAUAGUAUUAUUGGAUGGCAUCAUUUGAUAAUUAAAACUGAGGUGGUAUAGGAUGGGCAUGCGUCUGAUUAGUUAGUUGGCGGGGUAAGUGGCCCACCAAGACGAUGAUCAGUAGGGGUUCUGAGAGGAAGAUCCCCACACUGGCACUGAGAUACGGGCCAGACUCCUACGGGAGGCAGCAGUAGGGAAUAUUGGUCAAUGGAUGCAAGUCUGAACCAGCCAUGCCGCGUGCAGGAAGGAAAGGACCUUCUGGGUUGGUAACUAGCUUUG
This 417-nucleotide ribosomal RNA is filed under the name uncultured bacterium. RNAcentral's name for it is "bacterial SSU rRNA". It matches the Rfam family "Bacterial small subunit ribosomal RNA", at positions 28 to 437 of the family's 1533-position model. The record is from RNAcentral.